This 509-nucleotide ribosomal RNA is filed under the name uncultured bacterium. RNAcentral describes it as "partial 16S ribosomal RNA". It matches the Rfam family "Bacterial small subunit ribosomal RNA", at positions 28 to 508 of the family's 1533-position model. The record is from RNAcentral.
GACGAACGCUGGCGGCGUGCCUAAUACAUGCAAGUCGAACGCUUCUUUCCUCCCGAGUGCUUGCACUCAAUUGGAAAGAGGAGUGGCGGACGGGUGAGUAACACGUUGGUAACCUACCCAUCAGAGGGGGAUAACACUUGGAAACAGGUGCUAAUACCGCAUAACAGUUUAUGCCGCAUGGCAUAAGAGUGAAAGGCGCUUUCGGGUGUCGCUGAUGGAUGGACCCGCGGUGCAUUAGCUAGUUGGUGAGGUAACGGCUCACCAAGGCCACGAUGCAUAGCCGACCUGAGAGGGUGAUCGGCCACACUGGGACUGAGACACGGCCCAGACUCCUACGGGAGGCAGCAGUAGGGAAUCUUCGGCAAUGGACGAAAGUCUGACCGAGCAACGCCGCGUGAGUGAAGAAGGUUUUCGGAUCGUAAAACUCUGUUGUUAGAGAAGAACAAGGACGUUAGUAGCGGAACGUCCCCUGACGGUAGCUAACCAGAAAGCCACGGCAAACUACGUGC